RNAcentral lists this ribosomal RNA (460 nucleotides) under uncultured bacterium. Its description in RNAcentral is "partial 16S ribosomal RNA". It matches the Rfam family "Bacterial small subunit ribosomal RNA", at positions 338 to 795 of the family's 1533-position model. The record is from RNAcentral.
CCUACGGGAGGCAGCAGUGAGGAAUAUUGGUCAAUGGGCGCGAGCCUGAACCAGCCAAGUAGCGUGAAGGAUGACUGCCCUACGGGUUGUAAACUUCUUUUAUAAGGGAAUAAAGUGAGGCACGUGUGCCUUUUUGUAUGUACUUUAUGAAUAAGGAUCGGCUAACUCCGUGCCAGCAGCCGCGGUAAUACGGAGGAUCCGAGCGUUAUCCGGAUUUAUUGGGUUUAAAGGGAGCGUAGGUGGAUUGUUAAGUCAGUUGUGAAAGUUUGCGGCUCAACCGUAAAAUGGCAGUUGAAACUGGCAGUCUUGAGUACAGUAGAGGUGGGCGGAAUGCGUGGUGUAGCGGUGAAAUGCUUAGAUAUCACGAAGAACUCCGAUUGCGAAGGCAGUUGACUGGACUGCAACUGACACUGAGGCUCGAAAGUGUGGGUAUCGAACAGGAUUAGAUACCCUAGUAGUC